CGUGAAACCUGCUCAACUUGAGCAGCUCAUUUUGUGCUCCAAAUGGAAAUCUGGAGGAUGGGAGCAAGUGCUUCUCUGGCCAAAGAAAGAGCAAACUCAGCUGAAGAAGAGCCAUCGCUGGGCAUGCCAAAGGGACCAGAACCAUCACCACCUUCCCCUUCGGUCACUGAUGCUCAGUCACACAGAGGUGCUGCCCUGCCCUAGGAUUUUACCAUGCACAGGAAGGCUAAUGACGUCAAACACUAAUCUUCAGCACUUGAAAAGAGAGGAAAGUGACUGAGAAGCAUUACAGGUUGGCAGCAGGAGGCGAGGAGCUUGUGAAAAGAUGACUGCCAGCCCUACUACAACGGACAUGAAAAGUCAGUGGUGUCUUCCCCACUAAGCCAGAACAACUCUCCCUGGUUUGCAGACGGGCACAAUGAAUUGAAUUCCAGAGACUGGUGGAGGGUUUCCUGUUCUACUCCAGUGACCAGAGGACAACCUGGUUCAUUGAACCUCAGGUCUUUGUUGUCAUUGGUACUGCAGAGCUCAUGGGAUUUUCUGUGAAGAAGUGGCUGGAAACCAGGCAGAGAUCUGACAAGUGGAGUCAAUCGGGAGUCUGCUGGUGUGCCCUGCUCCUACGGCUUUGUCACCCUGAAAGCUGUGAGCACAAGGACAGGAGUCCCUAGAAGCCCAUGCCAAGAGCCAGUCUAUCAGAAGGAUAAACAGAUUGGAUGGGAGCCUCUGGAGUGCACAUGCUGGCUAAUAUAUCCUUGAAGAGGAGGCAUAGUCAACUCUCUGCAAACGGUCAUCCGUACUACUGGCCAAUAAUACCAGGUGCUGAAAAAGUCCCUCUGUAUAAAUUAUCCCCUAUCAUUUAGCCAUCCUUUUGGCUGGCCAGGGAGGCAGCAGUAUGCUUGCCAGCUGUUCUACCAAGUUUUCCUGAGCGGCAGCAUCUGCAUCAUUGCUCUGAAACAGCACAGUGGCCUCAGCGAGAUGACACACUGUUCUGAGGAAGCAAGUUUUACCCAGAAAAUGCGAUAGUUCACCGAAUUCUCCGGAAGUGAGAAGAUAACCACCUUCAAAAGACGUUUUUUUUUCUUUUCUUUUUCCCCUCUCUCUUUUAAAAACAUAGCAAUGGCUGCGAACAUCGUGUUCUUGCUGCUUUUCAGGGAUGUGGUUUUGUGCUAUUAAUAAAAAAAAAUAGAAUCGCUCAAUGAUUUCUAUUAAUGCAGAAUGAGGUGUGAGAACUGCAGAAAAGAGCCAUUUUAGAGAGCUUAGAGGCUUGGUUUAUAUAUAUUUAUGUAUAUACAUAUACAGUAAUGAGAAAUGGAAGAGGAACAACUGUUUUGAGGGGGGAAGUUGGGGGUGUUUUUAAGCUGCUUCCCAGGGCCUAAUAAAGAAAAGCUGAGUGGGAGUGAGAGAAGAGGUAUUUUCCUCAAACCUUUCUGACCCUAGUGGUUGGAUUGCUGGCUUUAUUUUGUUAUCUUUUGAAUGCAGAAAAAAAUGAUGAAUUCCCAGCUCUUUUCUGCUUAUCCCUUAUGGUUCAAGCAAUCACAACACUGUGUGAAGCCACUGUCUUGGUUUCACUUUUUACCACUGGAGACCAGGAGAGUUUCAGAGGGUACCAACUGCCCAGAGAUAGGAGAAAAGGCAAGUGACUUCUGCAGCCCCAUUUACCCAACGCCACAUCACAAAUUGAGGCAGUGCAGCCUCUUCCGUGAUGCCUGUGGUGUGCAGGCAUGAGGUUUGCAAAUGUGGUCAGUGACCAGCUCCAUCACCCACAUGUGAUGCCAGAGGGAAGCCACGGAAGUUACCUUUUCCUGGGGGAAGUGGGGAUGCCUCAGGAAGUCCCUGGGGAAGCCAAUGCACAGGGAUGCAGCCAGAUUCAGCGGUGGGUUGGUAGGUAGGAGAAGAAGGAGGGAAGAAAUGCAAACAGAAACAUCGUUGCUGAAAUGUUUGCCAUCUGGCUUUGAGAAGAUGAACAUACAGCGUUGGUUUGUUGUUCUGCUUUCUUUUUUUUUCUCAACUGACAGCCAGAGAAAUUUGGUGGUUUUUAUGCUUCUGAGGGCUUUUCUUUUUUCUUUUCUUUUUUUAAUCAACACCAUUGCCACAGCCUCCUAAACUCCAGUCUCCUGCUCAUCCCCUUCUCUUGCCUAUGCAGAGCCACUGAAUGCUUAUAAUGGAAAUAUUUUUGCAUCUAUGUAGCGGAGAACACCCGUCCAAACCGGAUGUUUGAGAUCACAGGGACUGACCCAGAAUCUGCACUGGGGCAGACAUGAAAGCAUGAAAAUUUCAUUCACAAAGGUUUUCUGGGACCAGCUCUUUUCUGCCUAAGCAGAGUCACGCACGUACUGGCUCAGACGCUCCCACAGCCCUUCCAAAGCAGAGCUGACUGCUUUUAAAGUUAUGCAGGGCUACAUCCUUAAUGGACAGAGGCCACGAGCUCAACUGGGAACAAUUACCAGCUGAAUAAGAUGUUCAUCUGCAAGGGGUGCACUUCUGCCAGCUACUACCCUUGGACGGCCCACGGAGCGAGAGGCACAGUUGGUCCCACGCCUACUUGUUUUCCUUCCCUUUGCUGCCACAGUUUCAACUGAUUUUGAUUACCCUGGCGCCAAAUAAAUGAAAACAUUUCAUAGACAUAUAAUCACUCGUCACUGCAAAGAAAGGAAAAAUGCUUGUGUACUGCGUGUUUAUAAAUACACUUAAUGAAAAAGGGAGAGAUCUGCCCUUCCCAGCCUCGUGUGGCUGAAGCCAGUGUAGCUGCAUGUCCUGUCAGGAAAGUCAGCCGCUGCUACCAUCCUGAUGUGGCCACUGGUGUGGAUGUCACUGGGAGAGACACAGCCCUGCCCCCUUCCCUGAUCAUGCUCCGAUGAUCAGUGUGGGGUGAGAGCAAACCUCCAAGUCAGCAAUUAAGACAUCCAAGAAUUUCAUGUUGAGGAAAGGGAAAAGCCCCAGACAUUGCCAUGAGGACUGCAUAUGGAAGAAAAUGCAAGCAAAUCCAGCAUGGGAAAAUGAGGUUGGAUGAACAACAGCACUCUUCAGCUUUAUUUAGUGGAGAUGCACUGGGCGAGCGUUCAUCAGGCUUUCAUACUGGAUCAGACAGGAGCUCAGACUAUUUUGGCAGAGGGCAGUAACCAGGUGCAAGUCCCAGGCCACUGACUAGCUCAGCCAGAGCUAUCUCCAUACACAGUACCACACUAAAAGAGGAUGCAACAGCCAUAAAGACAGCAGUGCUCUCUGAGAACCUGUUACCAACUCCAGGUUUGUUCUAUCCAUCAUAAGCAAAAUGUUGAUGUUCUUAGAAUGAAUGAGU
Numida meleagris (helmeted guineafowl) is the source of this 3298-nucleotide long non-coding RNA. RefSeq lists it as uncharacterized. The transcript has 8 exons. Lineage: Eukaryota; Metazoa; Chordata; Aves; Galliformes; Numididae. The record is from RefSeq and is a predicted model, not a curated record.